Molecule: ribosomal RNA, 495 nt
Filed under: uncultured bacterium
Lineage: Bacteria
Description: partial 16S ribosomal RNA
Rfam family: Bacterial small subunit ribosomal RNA
Source: RNAcentral
GACGAACGCUGGCGGCGUGCCUAAUACAUGCAAGUAGAACGCUGAAGGAGGAGCUUGCUUCUCCGGAUGAGUUGCGAACGGGUGAGUAACGCGUAGGUAACCUGCCUGGUAGCGGGGGAUAACUAUUGGAAACGAUAGCUAAUACCGCAUAAGAGUAGAUGUCGCACGACAUUUGCUUAAAAGGUGCAACUGCACCACUACCAGAUGGACCUGCGUUGUAUUAGCUAGUUGGUGAGGUAACGGCUCACCAAGGCAACGAUACAUAGCCGACCUGAGAGGGUGAUCGGCCACACUGGGACUGAGACACGGCCCAGACUCCUACGGGAGGCAGCAGUAGGGAAUCUUCGGCAAUGGACGGAAGUCUGACCGAGCAACGCCGCGUGAGUGAAGAAGGUUUUCGGAUCGUAAAGCUCUGUUGUAAGAGAAGAACGAGUGUGAGAGUGGAAAGUUCACACUGUGACGGUAUCUUACCAGAAAGGGACGGCUAACUACGUG